Molecule: ribosomal RNA, 498 nt
Filed under: uncultured bacterium
Lineage: Bacteria
Description: partial 16S ribosomal RNA
Rfam family: Bacterial small subunit ribosomal RNA
Source: RNAcentral
ACGAACGCUGGCGGCGUGCCUAAUACAUGCAAGUCGAGCGGACCGAACAGGAGCUUGCUCUUGUUCGGUUAGCGGCGGACGGGUGAGUAACACGUGGGUAACCUGCCCGUAAGACCGGGAUAACUCCGGGAAACCGGAGCUAAUACCGGAUAACACCGAAGACCGCAUGGUCUUUGGUUGAAAGGCGGCUUCGGCUGCCACUUACGGAUGGGCCCGCGGCGCAUUAGCUAGUUGGUGAGGUAACGGCUCACCAAGGCGACGAUGCGUAGCCGGCCUGAGAGGGUGACCGGCCACACUGGGACUGAGACACGGCCCAGACUCCUACGGGAGGCAGCAGUAGGGAAUCUUCCGCAAUGGACGAAAGUCUGACGGAGCGACGCCGCGUGAGCGAAGAAGGGCUUCGGAUCGUAAAGCUCUGUUGUUAGGGAAGAAGAAGCGUCGUUCGAACAGGGCGGCGCGGUGACGGUACCUAACGAGAAAGCCCCGGCUAACUACGUG